GUGUCCCACAUCAGCUUCUCAUCUCUUCUGUCUGGGUUCAGCUGAGCUCGUCUGUCAGCAUCUCUGAGGCCUCACGAGAACCAGAACUGGACGGAGUUUGGUCCUCAAACAGAACUCCGGCAGCAGGACUCAGAAGUUCAGAAAUACUUCAUCUUUUCUGGGAGGAAAUGUCGUUUCUGAGGGAGCCGACUGGGAGACGGGAAACUGCAGCCCGCCUAUGCUGUCGAAGCGCCGCUGCAGCUGGAAGUCUCAGCAGAUGAUGAACAAAACUGGAAACGCUCAUAAAGCUGAAUUUAAAGUUAAUUUAUCAUCAUAACUCCGUCA
Molecule: long non-coding RNA, 324 nt
Organism: Oryzias melastigma (Indian medaka)
Lineage: Eukaryota; Metazoa; Chordata; Actinopteri; Beloniformes; Adrianichthyidae
Exons: 2
Source: RefSeq, a predicted model, not a curated record